UGGAACAUAAGCAUUAUCUGACUCUACCCUUUGCUGGCUGCACAUAUUCAAUUAAUCAACAAGUAUCUUAGAUUCUAUUUUACCCACUUUUCUCCCAUCAGUCAUUGUCACUAAAACAAUUAAAAGUCAACAUCAUGUCUUUAGAUUAUGACAAUAGCUUUCUAUGCUUAAUCUAUGUUUUACACUUCUGGCAAUAUGAUCUAUUUUAACAUGCAAAUUGUGUUACUCUUCUGCUUUAAAACCUGUCACUGCUUCCUAUUUACUUUAAGUAUAAACUUCCAACUCCUUAACAAGGUCAACAUGCCCUACCUGACCUGACCCCUAAUAACCUAUCUAGUUAGAACCAUUGGCCCUUGUCAACUUGCACACCCACACAUACCCAUGAUUACACACAGAUCUGUUGAGAUCUCAACCUGGAAUGCAUUGCUUCUACAUCUGGAUUUGAGAAGAUUUGGCAUUUUUUCCAAUAUUAAGUUUUCCAAGUCUUGAAUGUAAACUUUUAUUCCUUUUAUUCAUGUUCUCCUGGAACUCCAAAUGCAUGUUAGAAUUGUUCAUGGCCUUCCUAGUGUUCAUUUUGGUAUUUUUUAAAAUCCUUUUCCUUCUAUAUGUCAGCACUGUGGCAAGGUAGUCUUGAGGACUUGCUGUUGCUCGAAGGAAUCGACCUAAGUACCUCUGUCUGGGAAUAUUCUAUUAGAACAGUAAUCAGAAGCAAUCUAGUCAAGAUCACCAUUGCAACCGUGAUAUAGGACUAUAAUAUAGGCUGAAGCCGUAAGAGACCAGCAAAAAGUUUAGAGUGACCUGAGGAACAAGGGAUCUAUAAGAAGCAUUGAUAAACUCCAUCAAAGCUUUGAAUAGUUUACAGCAACCUUUUAUAUAUUUUAUAAAGAGCUAGGAGAGUGGAGUUUGAAGGCUUUGAACACAGAGAAAUGAUAAGGAGAAAGUGAAGUGGCAUGUGCCUAUAAUUCUAGCAACUCCAGAGGCUGAGACAGAAGGAUCAAAAGUUCAGGGCCAUCAUGGGCAACUUAGUGAGACCCUGACUCAAAAUAAAAAAAUAAAAAGAGAUGGGGGAUGUAGCCCAAUAGUAAAGUAGCCCUAACAAACAAACAAAAACUAUAAGAAGAAGAGGAGGAGGGAGAAGAGGGAGAAGAGAAAGAAAAAGCAAAAAAGAUGAAAAGAAAUGAAAAGGCUAAUUUAUUUUGAUUUGAUCACUACACAUUGUAUACGUGUAUUGAACUAUCAUAUUGUA
RNAcentral lists this long non-coding RNA (1246 nucleotides) under Marmota monax (woodchuck). The record is from RNAcentral. Lineage: Eukaryota; Metazoa; Chordata; Mammalia; Rodentia; Sciuridae.